GGCCGAGUGGCUCGAAUGGCAAUGGCGGCGCACUGCAACUGCGCACUUUCGCGGGUUUGAUUCCCGCCUCGGUCU
RNAcentral lists this transfer RNA (75 nucleotides) under Algisphaera agarilytica. It matches the Rfam family "tRNA". From Rfam's summary of the family: Transfer RNA (tRNA) molecules are approximately 80 nucleotides in length. Their secondary structure includes four short double-helical elements and three loops (D, anti-codon, and T loops). Further hydrogen bonds mediate the characteristic L-shaped molecular structure. tRNAs have two regions of fundamental functional importance: the anti-codon, which is responsible for specific mRNA codon recognition, and the 3' end, to which the tRNAs corresponding amino acid is attached (by aminoacyl-tRNA synthetases). tRNAs cope with the degeneracy of the genetic code in two manners: having more than one tRNA (with a specific anti-codon) for a particular amino acid; and 'wobble' base-pairing, i.e. permitting non-standard base-pairing at the 3rd anti-codon position. Lineage: Bacteria; Pseudomonadati; Planctomycetota; Phycisphaerae; Phycisphaerales; Phycisphaeraceae. The record is from Rfam by way of RNAcentral.